UACGUAGGGACCGAGCGUUGUCCGGAAUCAUUGGGCGUAAAGGGCGCGUAGGCGGUCACGCACGUCCGUUGUGAAAUCGCUCGGCUCAACUGGGCGGGGUCAGCGGAUACGGCGUGGCUGGAGCAAGCUAGGGGGCAAUGGAAUUCCCGGUGUAGUGGUGGAAUGCGUAGAUAUCGGGAGGAACACCAGUGGCGAAGGCGGUUGCCUGGAGCUUUGCUGACGCUGAUGCGCGAAAGCGUGGGGAGCGAUCCGG
This 253-nucleotide ribosomal RNA is filed under the name uncultured bacterium. RNAcentral's name for it is "partial 16S ribosomal RNA". It matches the Rfam family "Bacterial small subunit ribosomal RNA", at positions 524 to 776 of the family's 1533-position model. The record is from RNAcentral.